RNAcentral lists this ribosomal RNA (460 nucleotides) under uncultured bacterium. RNAcentral's name for it is "partial 16S ribosomal RNA". It matches the Rfam family "Bacterial small subunit ribosomal RNA", at positions 338 to 795 of the family's 1533-position model. The record is from RNAcentral.
CCUACGGGAGGCAGCAGUGAGGAAUAUUGGUCAAUGGGCGCUAGCCUGAACCAGCCAAGUAGCGUGAAGGAUGACUGCCCUACGGGUUGUAAACUUCUUUUAUAUGGGAAUAAAGUGCAGCAUGUGUACUUCUUUGCAUGUACCUUAUGAAUAAGGAUCGGCUAACUCCGUGCCAGCAGCCGCGGUAAUACGGAGGAUCCGAGCGUUAUCCGGAUUUAUUGGGUUUAAAGGGAGCGUAGGUGGGUUGUUAAGUCAGUUGUGAAAGUUUGCGGCUCAACCGUAAAAUUGCAAUUGAUACUGGCAGCGUUGAGUACAGGAGAGGUAGGCGGAAUUCGUGGUGUAGCGGGGAAAUGCUUAGAGAUCACGAAGAACUCCGAUUGCGAAGGCAGCCUGCUAAACUGUAACUGACACUGAUGCUCGAAAGUGUGGGUAUCAAACAGGAGUAGAUACCCCUGUAGUC